AGAGUUGUAUCCUGGCUCAGGAUGAACGCUAGCGGCAGGCCUAACACAUGCAAGUCGAGCGGUAGAAACCUUCGGGUUUUGAGAGCGGCGCACGGGUGCGUAACGCGUAUGCAACCUACCCUUCACAGGGGAAUAGCCCGUCGAAAGGCGGAUUAAUGUCCCAUAGUCCUCAGGAUAGGCAUCUAUUCUGGGGUAAAGAUUCAUCGGUGAAGGAUGGGCAUGCGUGCCAUUAGCUUGAUGGUAGGGUAACGGCCUACCAUGGCUACGAUGGCUAGGGGUUCUGAGAGGAAGGCCCCCCACACUGGGACUGAGACACGGCCCAGACUCCUACGGGAGGCAGCAGUGAGGAAUAUUGGUCAAUGGGCGCAAGCCUGAACCAGCCAUGCCGCGUGCGGGAAGAAGGCGCUACGC
Molecule: ribosomal RNA, 411 nt
Filed under: uncultured Bacteroidota bacterium
Lineage: Bacteria; Pseudomonadati; Bacteroidota
Description: bacterial SSU rRNA
Rfam family: Bacterial small subunit ribosomal RNA
Source: RNAcentral